RNAcentral lists this ribosomal RNA (253 nucleotides) under uncultured bacterium. RNAcentral's name for it is "partial 16S ribosomal RNA". It matches the Rfam family "Bacterial small subunit ribosomal RNA", at positions 524 to 776 of the family's 1533-position model. The record is from RNAcentral.
GACGGAGGGCGCAAGCGUUGUUCGGAAUUACUGGGCGUAAAGCGCGCGCAGGCGGGAAGAUAAGUCUGGAGUGAAAUUCCGGGGCUCAACUCCGGAGCUGCUUUGGAUACUGUUUUUCUAGGGGCCGGUAGAGGCCGGUGGAAUUCCCGGUGUAGCGGUGGAAUGCGUAGAGAUCGGGAAGAACACCCGUGGCGAAGGCGGCCGGCUGGGCCGGAUCCGACGCUGAGGCGCGAAAGCGUGGGGAGCGAACAGG